AACGAACGCUGGCGGCAUGCCUAACACAUGCAAGUCGAACGAGACCUUCGGGCCUAGUGGCGCAGGGGUGCGUAAGGCGGGGGAACCUGCCCUUAGGUUCGGAAUAACUCCCCGUGAGGGGAGCUAAGACCGGUUAAUGUCUUAGGGCCAAAGAUUUCUCGCCUUUGGGUGGGCCCGGGUUGGAUUAGCUAGUUGGUAGGGUAAAAGCCGACCAAGGCGACGAUCCAUAGCUGGUCUGAGAGGAUGAUCAGCCACGCUGGGACUGAGACACGGCCCAGACUCCUACGGGAGGCAGCAGCGGGGAAUAUUGGACGAUGGGCGAAAGCCUGAUCCAGCAAUGCCGCGUGAGUGAUGAAGGCCUUAGGGUUGUAAAGCUCUUUUACCCGGGAUGAUAAUGACAGUACCGGGAGAAUAAGCUCCGGCUAACUCCGUG
Molecule: ribosomal RNA, 433 nt
Filed under: uncultured bacterium
Lineage: Bacteria
Description: partial 16S ribosomal RNA
Rfam family: Bacterial small subunit ribosomal RNA
Source: RNAcentral